GCCCCCGUAGCUCAGCGGAUAGAGCACGGCGUUCCGGACGCCGGGGCCGCAGGUUCGAUUCCUGCCGGGGGCA
This is a transfer RNA of 73 nucleotides. It matches the Rfam family "tRNA". Rfam says of the family: Transfer RNA (tRNA) molecules are approximately 80 nucleotides in length. Their secondary structure includes four short double-helical elements and three loops (D, anti-codon, and T loops).